This is a long non-coding RNA of Anabas testudineus (climbing perch), 4592 nucleotides long. The record is from Ensembl. Lineage: Eukaryota; Metazoa; Chordata; Actinopteri; Anabantiformes; Anabantidae.
AUUUCUGCAAAGAGGGACGACGGGGUCUCUUCCAGUCGUGGUAUUGUGACACGGGGCGUCAUCAAACCUGCACAGAGAAUAAACAGGAACACACAUACAGAACUGUAGCUCUGCCGACGUCUCAGUGGGAUCAAACCAUGGGUGCUGCUGAUGAUCUCAAAAAGAGCAUCUUCUCCUGGGUUGAAGCCGUGAGCACAUCUGUAAACAAUUUGGACAAACUCGCUUCUGAACUGGAGGAACGUGAGAUAAAGGACGAUGUAGGGGUACGAGGUUUGGGUGGGGUUGUGGGUGGGGUUGUGGGUGUCAGGCUUACUGACAUAAAAGGAGCCAAGAAGAAGGUGCAGCAGCUUGAAGACCUGGAGAAUCGUGAAAAGAAAAUCCAGACGCUCAUAGAGUCACUGGCAGAGGAAGGAAAGGAGAGAGAACAACCAGAUUAUGUUGUGGAUCAAAUCCUCCGAGUGAUGGCCAAAGAGCACAACCUGGAGCUAAAUGAUCAAAUAAAUGUUCACGAGCUGCUGUGUAAGUUUUCAGGAAAGGAGUUCUUCAUGUUGAAGACAUUUGUCGACCAGCAGCAGAAACUUAAACCAGUGCAUGAACUCAUUAGUGUCUCAGGACGAAACGAGGCCUCUGAAGAGGAACCUGUGGGUUCUGAAGUUGGAGGACGAGCAGCUGGACUUUUAUUUACAGUUUCCGGCCUGACUGACAAGCUGAGAAACGUGGAUAACGACGACAGUCACACCGAAACUGCUGACAGUCUGAGAGAAGGAGCUAAGGCCAUGAUGACGACCGGUAGGAAGCUGCAUGAAGAAGUGGAGGAAAUCAAAGGGGCGUUUGAGAAGUUGGCUGUUGUGAAGCGCUGCAUUAAAAAGAACAAGAGGUUCGACAUCGACAUGGAGAAAUUGCUCAGUCUUGUGAAGCACGUCUGUGAUGAUGAAACUCUUCAGUGGCUGAGUAACAACUCCAAGUCCGAGUCGAAGACCUUCCUCAAACUCGUGGACUUGUUUCAUUUGCUAAAAGAAACGAUUUAUGAAGAAACAAAGAAGAACCACAGUAACCACAUUGACAUCACAUUUGUGGCUCACGGAUCGAUCCAACAACCCGUGAUCCCGGCCGGCCGCCUGCUGCCUCUGCCCACCAUCGCCGACGUGGUUCUGCACUGCCCCUGGAACUGUCUCCUGUCUUCUGAUGCCGCGUACGGCGUCGCCACAGGUCUCAUGAAGCCCGAGGACACAAGGUUUUGUUGUAUCAAUGAAAAAUGCUGCCUACCAACAAAAAACCAUUGUCCCAAAGAGCUGCAGCAAUGGAAUUCAAUGAGGAAGGCCAAAGAAAAAGAGGAAAGUGUUCCAAACAUUAUGGUCAGCCCUGUUAAAAGGCAAACGGAUGGAGCGUGGAAACAGUUCCAGAUCCUGAAAACCGAGCACGGUGGACCUGAGACAAACCGUUUCGUCAUCCUUUACACUGUGCAAGGAAAAGUGAAACCUUCAGACAGAGUCCCGUUCUGUGCCGUCACCUUGGCCCUGUCGCUGGUUCUGUUCUUCUCCAGGUUUACAGCCAACGUCCAUCUCGCUGCCUGUCUGGGAGACAGAUCUCAGGAGGAGUUGGACAAGACGGAUCUGGAUCGGCAGUACGCCUGGGCUAACGACAACACGGGAAUGACAUGUAGAGAAAACCUCUUUCCUGAAAAGGACACCAGGCUGUACAGAGUCAUGGAGGCUGUGUUCGGUUGCCCCUUCACUAAGUGACGUUCUCAUGCUUCAGGACGUGUAGUUUUACUGUGUUGAUGUCUCGUGUCCUCACCACAGUUUCUGUUCACAGUAUCCGUGUAUUUUAUGUUUGGAUCUAUACUGAUUUUAAAAUCAUCAUAUUGUAUUAAAUUUGUAUUUGAUAACACAACAAAAACUAAGGACAACAAAGCAUCAUUCAUCUGGUUUCUAAGGGACAUGAAGACUGAUACUGACACUUUAAUAACCCCCUUGCAGCAGCAUGUAAUAGUUCAGGGUUCAGGGUCAUGUCCAGUACAGCUGAGAGUGGAACCACUGGACAUACUACAUACUUCAAUGAACGUUAAACUCCGUGAACGUUAAACCUGGACUCGUGAUAUCCCAGAAACGUCUUUCUGUCAUUUUUCAAAGGAGAUUUCAGGGUCCACCUUGUGUAUGUCUGCUUCUCUUCAGUGCUAUAUCUCAGAAAGAAGCAGUAUUAGAAGAUUUACACCCUCGCUUUGUGAAUUAGACAGAGGAUAGUUUAUCAAACCUGGCAAAAGAGAACAGACACAGGAACUUAUUCUAAUUCCAAUAUGAUGACGGUAAGUGUUUAUACACAGGAGAAUUUCGGUGUGGGAGUCAUAGGAUGAACUGAUGCUUUUUACAGAGCAAGUCAAACAUUUCACUAAACACUGUCAAAAAGUGAAACUACUGCUAGAGAGAAAACUACAGAACUACAGGUAACACAGCUGACUCUCUACAUUAACCAUAAAUAAAUGUGCAUGAAUUCAAAAUGAGAUAAAAAAAAAUACAGACACAGUAAACGGAACAGAAACUAAUGUCCACCUAAAAUGUAUAAAAUAAGUCAACGGAGCCUUUUCAGGGGUGUGGUUAUAUACUGUCAGUUUAGGGGCAGACUCACUUUUCUUGACCUGAAAAUCAAUUUGGAAUAUUAAAAACACUGAGCCAGUAAUUCUCUACAUACUAAGUGUUGAUAGCGUAGCUUAAUGCUAGUUCCCACCUGAACAACAUGGGAAGAUGCAGGUGAAAAUCAUGCUGGAGACGACAGAAGAGAGCGAGAUCUCCUCCAGCUCUUCUGGAGGAACACUGAGGGCUUCCCAGGCUAGCUGAGACAUAGUCCCUCCAACAUGUCCUGGGUCCUCCCCAGGGCCUCCCCAUGCAAAACAGAUGCCCAAGCAACUUCAACUGGCUCCUCUCAAUGUGGAGGAGCAUCAACUCUACUCUGAGCUCCUCACCCCAUCUCUAAGUGUGCGCCCAGCCACCCUGUGGAGGAAACUCAUCGAGAGUUUCGCCUUUUAGCUCAGCUCCUUCUUCACCACGACAGAUGAGCACAUCGAUCUCAUUACUGUAGGCUGACUGAUCUUUAAUUCAUGUGUUCAGUUAGAGGUCAUAGGUCGUAGGUUUCACACCAUCCAUCCCCCUCACUGCUCCCCAGAGACAUCUCUCUUUUCCCAAUUUCGCUCGUAUUACUGGUUGGUUUCUGGCUUACGUGCCUGUUACUGCAGGCCCUCGCUUUGUCUUUUGGCCUGAAGGAGCCGAGCUUCAUUCAGUUUAAAAAACUGUAGAAGCACCAGAUUCUGCAGCUUUUCUCUCGUGUGCAGAUGUUCCACGUCUCCUCUUCUGUCCACUAUUUUUAUUGUGAGUUUGAGUUUUGAAUAGAAACUCAGUGUCUUCGUUUGAUGGACUAGAGAUUUUGUAGAACAGAUACAAGUUUUAUUCAGCAUCACAGUUAAACCCACUGUCUGGUGUUUCCUGACGGGGAGUGACGACGUCUAAGUCAUCAGCUAUAGAGUGAAUAAUAAUUUACAUCCAGUGAAAAGAAAAGCGGAGCAAAUGGAAAUAUGGUUUAAAGAGUUAAUCACUGACUACAUCAAAUGUCUACAAAAUAGUAUUAUUAUUUAAUCCUUGUUAAAAGCAGGUGGAGGAGUGCUUCACAGAAACAGACAUCACCUAAACAAGGAGCAGUUCCAAACGCACACAAAACAGAGAGUGAACAUUUUCAUUUAAAUGGAAAGAGGUGAAACAUGCUGUCACAUGUAUUUCUGGUUUGUGUUGCUACCCUAACCCUUGUCACUUUGGUUCUGUAUCUGACCAGUUUUCUUGUCGUGUUCGUUUGAUGUCCCCAUUUGGUUGUUUUCUGUGUUUGUUGAGAUCGGGUAGUAAUAAAUCCUUUUUCUUGCAAUACUCGUGUCCCCUGAAAUAUGAAACAAGAUGUAAAAGAACAGAACGAUAAAGAACCUGCUGUGUAUAUGAUGCAUUUCUACAUAAAACUGUUCUGUGGAGUUACUAUAAUUGGUCCUAACCUACUGUCAUUAUUACUUCAAAUCAAGGUAUUUUCUACAUCACACUAUGUUGAAUCUUUUAUUUGAAUUUGCACUGAGGAAUUUGGAUGAAUCCUUUUUGAAUAAAGCAACAAACCAAAGUGGUUUACAAAGAAAAUUAUUGAUUAUUUAUUGGCCGUGAACAUGCUGCACAUAGUUUGCAGCAAAUACAUUUGUCCUUGAUUUAAUUAACAUGUUGAAUGCAGAAUACUGAUAAAUACUGAAACGUUUAUUAAAUAUUUUAUUAAACGAUUUAACGAAGCACUGACCUCUUCCCUUUCUCUCAGUGUGUUUCUAUGAGACAGUCUGUUGCCACAGUAACUGUAUCAUGAUGGACCAGCUGAAGGACUCGUUUUCUCUAUUCACCACCAAUACUGACCUGAUCCAACCUGUUUCUGUUCCGUUUAUUUUAUUAAAAAUUGAGACACUGUGGGAUGAGCACAAAGAGUUUGUAAAGGUCGCCCUGUUUCCCGGUUCCUCCUGGCUACAUGUCAAGGUGAUUUUGGAACAUGUGCCAAAAACCCUGAAGCAGCGCUGACAUCUACUG